Danio aesculapii is the source of this 1656-nucleotide long non-coding RNA. RefSeq lists it as uncharacterized. The record is from RefSeq and is a predicted model, not a curated record. NCBI's taxonomy places the organism in Eukaryota, Metazoa, Chordata, Actinopteri, Cypriniformes, Danionidae. The transcript is spliced from 2 exons.
UUUUGCUCCUCCAAUCAGGAGUGAAGAGGGGCGGGAGAAAAAAAGAAGAACCGGGAGAGAGAGGGGAAAAAAAAGACGCGCGCAGUGCGUGAGAGAAACCGGGAAGUUUGUAGAUUUUAGACCAUAAAGUCUUUUAUAUUCCCUUUAAGUUUAUAUUCAGUGUGUUUAGCAGCGCGCACAUGUUGCUAUAAAGACUGGAAGAAGAUCUGACUCGUGGAGUGAGUGAGAGACAUUUGGAGUUGUAUUUUGCGUAAGGAAAGUUCAUCAAAGGACUUACUCACUAUAAUUCGGUUUGAUACCCUUACGAACUGAACAUUGUGAACUGAGUAACGAACUUGCGGGAAGCAUCACUGUGAGACGAAGGACACCAGACAGCUGUGAGUGUCGUGGGCUCAACCAGUUUGCGAGCAUCGCUGGACGGCGAGUUUGGCGUUGGAUGGUAUCAGAUUACACCUGCGUGAGCCUCGUUCACUCAUCGGAUAAUUGAGAGCGGUUGGGGGAGGCUAACGGCUCUGGACAAUCACCACUACAAACAUUGGUUGAUCAAGCCACCCUUCUUAACCCCUCCCUGGAGUUAUCUGAGGGGGGACAGAAUACAGAGGGACAGUGCAGCUCUGUGGGGGAUGGUGACGUGGGUCAGCAACCAAAUUCACCAUUUCAGUUGGUGUCACAGACUGAGUCCUCGUUGGAAUUGACAAGCGUACCAGUAAAUGAUAGUGGAGAUGAUGGGAGAGCGGCUGCAGUGCCGAGUGAUGAGAAUGCUCGCCCUGUGCGACUGAAGAAAUUACCAGCAUGGGCUAAAGAUUAUCAUCUUCACUCGAGGACGAGUUCUUCUGAAGGAGGAGGGAAUAGUGUGGAAUGUUGAGAUCGCAGGACCAUGUGACUUUACUGAGUGGAUUCACCUGUGGACCGCUUAUGAUGAGACUCUUUAAAAAAGGUGUGCGGGAAAAAGACUCGAGCUCCGAGGUGGUGAGUUGUGGGUUCCGCUGAGCUGUCUCUCGGGGGCAAUAUGCCCUCCGGAGAUGAAGAUAGUUAGCUAGACAGGGCUUCCUAUGUGAGUUAGUUGAGUUAGGGGGGAUAAUAAAUGUUUAGCUGCCCACUACCUCGGUUUCAGCCUCUCUUUUGACCCAGUCCUAUGUUGGUGGGUAAACCGUGGAGUCUAGCCCCGCCUUCUCCACAUUUUAUGAAUGAACUGACUGAGUAUCCUGGCCACGCCUCCAAGCAGCGGACGGACGAAUCUUACAACGGGCCUGUGUGAUCGUGGACGUGCGCCCUGUCCUGCUCCGUGGGAUAACGCUGGUUCCUUUCUACUUGGCUGGGUCUGAAAGGCUGUGUGAAGGGAAGUCUUUUUAAACCUUUAUUUGUGUUUAUUCCUGUUGUACGUGGACUGUGUUUGUGUGCGUGAAAGGCGAUUAGUGCGGGAGGCGGGUGAGGGGGAUACAUGAUUAUAGGGGAUGCGCCUUAAUUUUGUGUGCAGUGAAGAUUGAGGUGUUGGGUGCUAUUUGAAACACUGUUGUAGUGAUGUGGUGAACUCACUGUGUGUAAAGAAAGGGGCGUGAUAAUCGCGUGUAGCCUAUGACGUCUGUAUUUCUCGCCCUGGUACCCGCAUCUAAAUGGCCCUUGUUCUUAAAGUAAAUAAAGUAUUUCUCUUUUGUA